UUCCCUUUCUUUGCCUUCUGCAGAUUGCUGCUUUACACAGAGGAGGAGACAGCUUCCCACUCACCGCCGCCUCAGGCAAAGUGCUGGGAAAGGCUCUGCGGAGCUGCGAUAAAAGCUCCAAGCCGGUGUACGUUUCUGUUGGCCACAAGAUCAGCCUGGACACAGCCGUGCGCCUCACCCGGGCCUGCUGCCUCUUCCGGGUGCCCGAGCCCAUCAGACAGGCCGACUGUCUCUCCAGAGAAUACCUGCGCAAACACUUCCCAGCUGCAGAUACAUGAACCCGCAGAGUUAGGCUCAGCACCUACAUUUUGCCCAAAUGAUGUGAAACCACGGACCGGCUCAUCUGCAGCUCCUCAUCUCCAACUUCUUCAAUUAUCCCUUCAUUUUUCUCGCUGUAUGAGCUCCCCAACUCCUUUGGACACAGAGGCAGAGCUCAUGGAGUAUUUCUAAAGGUGAGAAGAAACUAAACUUUCUCAAAGUAAGAAGAAAAGGCUGGAGGGAGAAGAUGAGAGUUUCAGGCAAUGGAUGUUUAACAGUAAAAGAAAAAAACUGGAAGCUGAGAAAUAAAAAAAGUAUAAGACCCAAAAAUCUUCUAUCUUAAACUGCAUAUUUUUGUUUUCCCAGGCCAAGAAGAAUCAAUUAUGUAACUAGUUGUUAAAGUUCAGCAGCACAAUAAAGCAAAAACAAAAGUGAAGUGAGACAUAAAUGACAUAAGAACAGAUUUCCAGAUGGUCAAAGCCUCAUGUUGGAGCCUGAAAUUUGUAUUUUGAUAUUUAAUUCCAGAUGAAACUUGAUUACAUCUGUGGGAUAUAUGAAGAAAAGCCAUCAUGGUGGUGCCAUUCUUCAAAUGAGGAAGAUGAAUAGGAAGUCAUAAAGAGGUGAGAUUCGGAGCCGUGAAGCCCGCUGAGGCUUGUGUCCUGACAUUCAGGAUAAAUUCAGUGGAGGGGUUCCACUUGAACGGUUGGAAAGAGGAAGAGGCAUCCAUCCACCUUGAGCCAGCUGCCCAGGAAGCCUCAUUAUCCUCCCUGCAUCCUUCCUGAAAGCUUCUGCUGAUCAGUAAAUGCCACAAGUUUCCCUCCCCACUGCGAGAGCUCUCACCAUGAGCAGAGAGCGGAAAGGAGAAGAGGAGCGUCAGACUCUGUCUUUGUCCCUAAUGGGGGGGCUGCAGUACACGUUUGAGCAUCUCCUUUGCACUCAGAGUGUUCAUCCUGAGCAGGGCCACAUUUGUUCGUGGGUUUUUUUUCAGCUGAUGUUUCCUUCAGUGACCUUAGUUGAUCACAAACGACCAAACCUCACGUCGGUUUUAACUGCUGCAGCUCCAAACUAAAACGACAUUUGUGUCUCGGAUGCCACGAGGGGCAUCUCAUGAAUUAAUGAGACGUCAGUUGAGAUGUCACGUCUUUAUCAGCUCUCUAACAGAGGAAUAACACAGGCAGAGAAACUUAACGCGCGCCGUGAAUCUCAGGCGGUUUGACUCCAGAGACAUGAUCUUUAAAAAUACUCCCUUUCUCUGUUCGGUGGGAGCAGAUUUGCAUACCGCCUUUGUUUUCGUAUCAGCAUUUAUUCAACUGUUUAGUCCGGUGGGAGCUGUUUCAUUGUGUUUGUGCUUUUGUGUGUUGCUUUUAUUUAUUUUUUGUUUGGUUUAAAAACUUGAUUUGCAUAGUUUACUUCUAAGUUAUUGGAGGUAAACGACUCAAUGUCUGUAUUUUGUUUUUGGUUUGGCAUAAAUCUUUACAGCAAGCUGGAAAAAAAAACACUGAUGACGCUAUAUUUUUUUCACAAAAGUAGAUCGUCGUGACUUUGGGCUACAUCACAUUUCAUGGUUCAAGGCUAAGGGUGUAUUCAGACUGGACACAUUAAAGUGUACCAAGCAUAGUUCAGUUACCCUCAUAAUUUCCAGUCUGAAGACAUCCAAGUGGACUCUGGUCUGGGUCCAGGAACCGCUCUCUGACUCAUCUUUGAAGGCGAUCUCGGUUCGUUUCUAAUCAAACCGAGAUUAGGUUCGCUCUGAGUUUCCUCAGUCUGAACAGGCUCUGUGGUCGGAGCGGAACAACUGAACAAAAAAUGGCCAACAUAGCCAGGCAUUAUGGGAUGUGAGCAGAGAAGGAAUGUUACAAACAAGAUAAUGAUACAACUCAACAGAUGAGGCUCAUCAAAACAACUUUUAAUGUGAAACACAUUGCUUCUAACAUUGUUUUCCCAACAAUCUUUGUAUCAUAAACACUUAUCAGCAUAGCCUUUUAGCCGUCGCCUCCUCAGUAACCGACUAGCAGCAUGCCUCCAAAAUUUUACCAAAAUAAUAAGUGGUGCAUCUGACGUUGAUACAGACAUUGUAA
Molecule: non-coding RNA, 2336 nt
Organism: Oryzias latipes (Japanese medaka)
Lineage: Eukaryota; Metazoa; Chordata; Actinopteri; Beloniformes; Adrianichthyidae
Source: RefSeq, a predicted model, not a curated record